This 406-nucleotide long non-coding RNA is filed under the name Phasianus colchicus (ring-necked pheasant). Its description in RNAcentral is "lncRNA (ENSPCLG00000016808.1)". The record is from RNAcentral. Lineage: Eukaryota; Metazoa; Chordata; Aves; Galliformes; Phasianidae.
AAUAGAAAGAGCUGCAAUCUCUGCCAGACAUGGCAAAGUUGAGUGGGAUGUUGUUUCAAUUAGUGCUGAUGUUAGGAAGGACUGUAAGGAUCUAAAGGCAGGUGUUUGCCAUUGGCAGGGAAACACAUCUGCUUUUCAUUUUGUCUUAAUCUUUCAGUGCUAGAUAAAUAGAGGAUUGUGUGCCCUCACCUUGGACCCCUCCUGCCCUCUUCUGCUGAGAUGGAGAAAUGUUUCAGCUUCUAGAAGGACAUCAGGACAAAGGAGCUCUUGACUUGACAGCUAGAGGGAUGCAAUAGAAAGAGCUGCAACCUCUGCCAGACAUGGCAAAGAUAAACAGGGGAGAGUGUGGCCUCACCUUGGUACUCUCCUGCCCUCUUCUGCUCAGAGGGAGAAAUUUCCCAGCUUC